RNAcentral lists this small nucleolar RNA (136 nucleotides) under Cricetulus griseus (Chinese hamster). RNAcentral's name for it is "Small nucleolar RNA SNORA5". The record is from RNAcentral. Lineage: Eukaryota; Metazoa; Chordata; Mammalia; Rodentia; Cricetidae.
CAAUGUCUGCAGCUAAACUUAUCCCUAGGUCCCAGGACAGGGGACCCAGGGCCCAUGAGCAGCAGGACUUGUUGUGGCAGCCAUCUGGGCCAGUUCCUGCCAUGACAGGACAGGGACUGAAUUUGACUUGACUGCA